Molecule: long non-coding RNA, 221 nt
Filed under: Elaeis guineensis (African oil palm)
Lineage: Eukaryota; Viridiplantae; Streptophyta; Magnoliopsida; Arecales; Arecaceae
Description: long non-coding RNA (EGUI_LNC053841)
Source: RNAcentral
CUUAUCCAAUAAACUAAUUGGACUUGAUCUAAUCAAGCCCAAAUCAAAUCUAAUUAAAUCAUAUUUAAUUAGACUUAAUCUCAGCCCAUUGGCUUAAUAAAAUUAAGCUAAUUAGCAAUCGAAUUGCUAAUCGAUCCUCUUGCAAUACUUGCACUGGGUUAAAUGUCAAUCGUAUUGAUCAUUUAACCCUAGAACGAUUCUUAAUCGUUGAUCAACCAUCC